RNAcentral lists this ribosomal RNA (422 nucleotides) under uncultured bacterium. Its description in RNAcentral is "bacterial SSU rRNA". It matches the Rfam family "Bacterial small subunit ribosomal RNA", at positions 355 to 774 of the family's 1533-position model. The record is from RNAcentral.
UGAGGAAUAUUGGACAAUGGGCGCAAGCCUGAUCCAGCCAUGCCGCGUGCAGGAAGAAGCAUCUAAGGUGUGUAAACUGCUUUUGUACGGGAAGAAACACUCCUACGUGUAGGAGCUUGACGGUACCGUAAGAAUAAGGAUCGGCUAACUCCGUGCCAGCAGCCGCGGUAAUACGGAGGAUCCAAGCGUUAUCCGUAAUCAUUGGUUUUCAAGGGUCCGUAGGCGGUUUAGUAAGUCAGUGGUGAAAGCCCAGCGCUCAACGACGGAAGGGCAUUUGAUACUGGUAGACUAGAAUUCUGUAGAAGGUAGUAGAAUGUGUGGUGUAGCAGUGAAAUGCUUAGAGAUCGCAAGGAAUAUCAGUUGCGAAGGCGGCUUCCUACUACAGCAUUGACGCUGAGGCACGAAAGCGUGGGGAGCAAACA